CCUUUUUUUCCCGGCUCGCCCCUCAGCCCUUCGGUUUCUUUUCGAUAAGUUACCGUCUUGGGGGGGGGGGCGGGGGGAUGUGUAAGAAGGGGAUCCUUUUUUUUGCACCGUCUUCUGCCUGUUUGUGGCGGCAGGAGCUUCGCUGACUUUCAUUUCGUGGUCGCGGUAAGGGGAUGCCCGAUGGCGUAAAUAUGCAGUCAGAUGGUUGAUGCAGGUUUAACACACACAGAGACACACACACACAUACAAACACCACUACCUCCCCCUUCACCCCACGGGACAGUUUAAGACCAGUGGCAUAAAACGGAAUGGCUUCUGAAAGCUCAGGUUAGCCUGUCCGGAUUGAUUGCUGGAAGCGAAAGGAACGCAACUCGAUGGCAAUAGACAUGAAUGGGCUUUUUUAAAAAAAGCAUUAUUAGAACUGCACUGCAGGCGAAAAGGAAGGCAAGUCAGGUGUAUAACUGAGCCGUGGGGUUUGCCGGUGGGAUCCAGCAAACCCAGAGGAAUGCCGCUAAGAAGGUGUGUGUGAUCGGCGGUGUGUGUGAUCGAGUGAGUUCCAGGUGGUGAAUCCCAUCACCCUGAUUUCAUCCUUCUCAUAACAACCCUGAGAGAGUGAGUGGUUCAAGAUCACUUAGUGGGCUUCAUGGCUAUGACAUAUACUGUAUAUGUGGAUGCAUUUAUCUCAAGAAGAAUAUAGAACAGAUGUCUCCAUGUAAAAUGAAAUUACAAAUAGGCCAUGGAUCUCAGCUUGAGGCCAAAGUAGAAAAAUCCUAAUCACUGAUUGCUGCAUAAUAAAGAUAUUAUUUUAGAGCACAGAAGUUGUAGAUGAUAUCUGCUGAUGUUUGCCACUACAUAUGAGGAACUGAAAAUUAGACCUGCUGUCCAAGAGUUUCAGUGCUUUCAGAUGAACACAAGCCUGCUAUCUUUAACACUGCAUGGAUUACAACAAAUACAGUAUUGCACUAAUCUGUAUAUUUUGAGAAAAUAAAUUGAUUCCCAGAGGAGUGAUUUUUUUAAAAAAAAACUCCAUGCUCAAUAUCUGGAAAUUGUUUAAUGUUUUUUCCCUUCCCAAGCAUAAUACCUUGCCGUACUGCACAGUACACAACCAACAAUGUCAAAAAGUGAGCAGGAAAGCAGAACACGGCACAAGGAAAAUAAUAUAACUCUUGUAAAAUGUGUUAACCACAAGCUCAAGAUGUUGCAUUCUGCAAAGAAUAGAGGGUCACUGCCUCACUGUACCAUCUUUCAUGCAGAAUAAUUAAAAAGGAGAAAAUGGAAUCAGACAGUCUGGAAAUGGCUUAAAAAUUCCAACUUAGAACAAUCACUACAAAUGAGCAAAACUCAGGGAUUCUUUGACAUUUUAUGUGGCACAUGUCUGAUAUUUACCAGAGUGAACACUGUAAACUUUGCCUUGUAAAGGAAGGCUGAGGAACCUGCAGUCCUCUAGUUGUUUCUGAAUUUUAGUUCUUAGUUAGUUUGACCAAGCAUGAAGUGUGAUGAGAGCAGCAGUUCAUCAGCUUUCAGAGAGCUGAAGUUUCCCCAAUGCUAGUGUAAAGUAUGAAGGGAGAAUAUGCACCCAUCUACAUAAAUAUGUCAUGGACAUUUUCCAGGAAUCUACAUCCAAGUAAGGGCCUUCAGGGCAGCUGCCUGCUAUGAGUCUUCGGUGACUUUUUCUCAUAAUGUAUUGUAACAAUAUUGAAUUCAGCACUAAUUGUAGAGUGAGCAAAAGCAGAUGGGGAAGCA
This is a long non-coding RNA of Pogona vitticeps (central bearded dragon), 1743 nucleotides long. The record is from Ensembl. NCBI's taxonomy places the organism in Eukaryota, Metazoa, Chordata, Lepidosauria, Squamata, Agamidae.